GUCUAUGGCCAUGGUACCCUGAACAAGCUGGAUCUCAUCUGAUCUCAGACGCUAAGCAGGGUUGGGCCUGAUCAGUACCUAGAUCAGAGACCACCUAGGUAGACCAGGUGCUGUAGGCG
Molecule: ribosomal RNA, 119 nt
Filed under: Pteropus alecto (black flying fox)
Lineage: Eukaryota; Metazoa; Chordata; Mammalia; Chiroptera; Pteropodidae
Also listed under: 1 other name
Source: RNAcentral